GAUGAACGCUGGCGGCAUACCUAACACAUGCAAGUCGAUCGGUAAGGCUCUUCGGAGUACACGAGAGGCGGACGGCUGAGUAACGCGUAGGAACACACCCUGCAGUGAGGGAUAAGACACCGAAAGGUGUUCUAAUACCGCAUACGGUCUUCGGAUUAAAGCAUUUAUGCGCUGAAGGAGUGGCCUGCGUCAUAUUAGAUAGUUGGUGAGGUAAUGGCUCACCAAGUCGAUGAUGUGUAGCUGGUCUGAGAGGAUGAUCAGCCAGACUGGAACUGAGACACGGUCCAGACUCCUACGGGAGGCAGCAGUGAGGAAUAUUUCACAAUGAGCGAAAGCUUGAUGGAGCAAUGCCGCGUGCAGGAUGAAGGCCCUCGGGUUGUAAACUGCUUUUAUAAGAGAAGAUUAUGACGGUAACUUAUGAAUAAGGGACGGCUAACUACGUG
RNAcentral lists this ribosomal RNA (443 nucleotides) under uncultured bacterium. RNAcentral's name for it is "partial 16S ribosomal RNA". It matches the Rfam family "Bacterial small subunit ribosomal RNA", at positions 28 to 507 of the family's 1533-position model. The record is from RNAcentral.